GGAUUGUGGCUCAAUGGUAGAGCACUUGCCUAGCACGUGUGAGGCACUGGGUUCAAUUCUCAGCACCA
Molecule: transfer RNA, 68 nt
Filed under: Marmota monax (woodchuck)
Lineage: Eukaryota; Metazoa; Chordata; Mammalia; Rodentia; Sciuridae
Description: tRNA.Ala
Rfam family: tRNA (bases 5-65)
About the family: Transfer RNA (tRNA) molecules are approximately 80 nucleotides in length. Their secondary structure includes four short double-helical elements and three loops (D, anti-codon, and T loops). Further hydrogen bonds mediate the characteristic L-shaped molecular structure. tRNAs have two regions of fundamental functional importance: the anti-codon, which is responsible for specific mRNA codon recognition, and the 3' end, to which the tRNAs corresponding amino acid is attached (by aminoacyl-tRNA synthetases). tRNAs cope with the degeneracy of the genetic code in two manners: having more than one tRNA (with a specific anti-codon) for a particular amino acid; and 'wobble' base-pairing, i.e. permitting non-standard base-pairing at the 3rd anti-codon position.
Source: RNAcentral